AAAUUUGAAAUAGUAAGUUGAUGAUUAUCAAUAAUGAUCGCGAUUUAUUUCAUUCAUAUUUUCGCGGGAUUUGAACAGGAAGUAAGAUUGGACAUGCGCAUUAUUUAAACACGCACCUUUCCUGCAUUUCAAAAAGAACAACAAAGGACGAAUUCGAAGAGAAACUUUCCGUUUAUCACGUAUAUUUAUGAAGCUUGUCAAACAGAUCAAUGGUUGAAACGCAUCAAGAGGAGCAAAAUUAAAAGUCAGUUUUGGGAAUUCCAGUCUUUAAAUCAUCAAAGAGUUUAAGUAUACUGCAAGAGUAAACUGAUGUCACUUGGAAAUACAUCUCUGAUAAAGACCACUCCAGCUUAAAGUUUACUUACUGCAGAAAGAUCCCGAGGUGGUGGAAGAAUGAUGACAUGCAAUAAGGACAAAAAGAGACAAAUAUAACAAAUGAAUUUAUAAAAUAAAUCUUGUAUCAAAAGAAA
Long non-coding RNA from Mytilus trossulus (common blue mussel), 470 nucleotides. RefSeq lists it as uncharacterized. The record is from RefSeq and is a predicted model, not a curated record. The transcript has 3 exons. Lineage: Eukaryota; Metazoa; Mollusca; Bivalvia; Mytilida; Mytilidae.